Long non-coding RNA from Thunnus maccoyii (southern bluefin tuna), 285 nucleotides. RefSeq lists it as uncharacterized. The transcript is spliced from 3 exons. The record is from RefSeq and is a predicted model, not a curated record. NCBI's taxonomy places the organism in Eukaryota, Metazoa, Chordata, Actinopteri, Scombriformes, Scombridae.
UCCAUGUCCGCCUUCAGUAUAUCCACCUUAAACAGGAAGAAAAAAAAACACUUAAGCUUUUCCUGUCACAGCUGAGGCUGGGUGAGAGAUCCUUUGAGAAGAAACUGUGCUGCUUACUGCCGCUUGGUCCUCCGGCACACUAUGUACUCGCAUUAAAACCUCAUUACAAGGAUGUGUGUGUGGCUCUGCAUUUAAAACAGUCAUUGAGGAUGGUGGCCAGUUUCUUGGUGCUGGCGUACUGACGCUGGGCGGCAAUAGCGGGGUUGGGAUCUCUCCAGUCUACAG